Molecule: ribosomal RNA, 350 nt
Filed under: uncultured bacterium
Lineage: Bacteria
Description: partial 16S ribosomal RNA
Rfam family: Bacterial small subunit ribosomal RNA
Source: RNAcentral
CCUACGCGAGGCAGCAGUGGGGGAUAUUGCACAAUGGGGGGAACCCUGAUGCAGCGACGCCGCGUGGGUGAAGAAGCGCCUCGGCGCGUAAAGCCCUGUCAGCAGGGAAGAAAAUGACGGUACCUGAAGAAGAAGCCCCGGCUAACUACGUGCCAGCAGCCGCGGUAACACGUAGGGGGCAAGCGUUAUCCGGAUUUACUGGGUGUAAAGGGGGCGCAGACGGCGAUGCAAGCCAGGAGUGAAAGCCCGGGGCCCAACCCCGGGACUGCUCGUGGACCUGCGUGGCUGGAGUGGAGGAGGGGCAGGCGGAAUUCGUGGUGGAGCGGUGAAAUGCGUAGAUACCAGGAGGA